UCAUUUUUUUUCAACUUCCCCCAAAACAUUUCUCCUAACACAUUUCUUUCAUUCUCACCAAUUUUCUCAAAAUCCUCGUUCCCCUAUCGUAUGAAGUCAAAGAAACCCUAAAAAUUAAGUUUCGGAUCAAUGCUCCUUUUAAAAACUCAAAUACAUAAUUUUUCUUAUCAUCUCUUCAGUUUCUCCAUCUUCAUCUUAUUUUCUUUAUGCCUCCAUGCGAAAACAAUGUUUCCCACUGGAACGAUUCCCUCCACUCAAUGGGUGUUGGCGGCAGCGACCUCAUCUCCUAUACCUUUGAAACGAUUCCCUCCACUCGAUCGGCAUUAGAGGAAACAACCCAAACAUCUUCUACAAUGAAACCCUACCUAAAAAACCCACCCCACAACAAGAAACCCCUUUUCCAACAACCAACCCACCAUUCAAGACUCACUGGAAAUCACUACAUGCAACUCUCAUUCACUUUCUGCAGCAGAAAAGUCUCAGGCUUUGGAAAUUUUAGAAGUGCAAACCAUGCUAAUGAUGGAUGGGUCUGAUGUGGCGGUGCUGGCUGUCAAGAAUCAUUCAGAACAUUUGGUGUUAGUGCUUCAUGUUAUUAUUCUCGAAUUUGGGUUUGUUUUUAUGGAUUAAUUUUCAGGUGACGAUUUGGCCAAAGUGUGUUGUACGAGUCCAGAAUUUCAAUAUCUUGCUUCAAAUGAUGAGUUAUAUAUCUGGAUUUGCAACACCUAGUACAUUGCCUUUGCUUAUUACGGUUUCUCUCUUUCCUUAUUCAUGUAUUUAUCUCAACCUGUUUAUAGAUCUGGCUUUCCAUUGGUCUUUAUGUUGCUGCUGAAAACUCGUCUCCUGUUCCAGUAUUUUGUGGUACAAAUGUAUGUACAUGUUGUCCACUUUUCUCUUUUUAAAUAAUGCAUUUUGUACUGAUUAUAGAGAUUGGUUUCUAGUGCAGAAGGGAUGAGUUAUCUAAGGCAUACGUGAUUGUAUUUCUUGGUGAUUAAAGUUAUUGUCCCUAUGCUGAAGUAAGAGGUUUUUGGUCUCAAAGAUGCUUUGAUUGGCUUAGUGAAAGGUAUCAGCUUCAAGCAGAAAUGGAAAUCGGGAAUACAUUCUUUGGUUCUUGAAUGAGUUUGUAGUUUGGCGUAUCGUGCAGAAUUUAAAGAUAGUCUCAAAGAUGCUUGGUGUGACAGAAUUUUGUAUCGUGAUAGUCGCUCUUCUUCGGUUGUUGAAUGCAGUUCGAAGUACCCUUCUGAAAGGUAAGGAGAGGGGCACCUGGUUUCAACAGCUCACACAUUGAAUUUUUUUUCCCUACGUAACAAGAAAUGUGAGCAUUUUAAUAAGGUAAAGUUGUUGAUGAAGAUCUCAUUAAACAAGAAUCAGCAAGAGACAAUGAUUGUGUUGAGUAAUUCUGGUUUUACUUCUCUAAAUUUUUCAUGGAUCGGUUUACUUUCAACAUUAGAAGAAAAGUGUUGGUGUUUUAGGCUGGAGGAGGAUGAUAUAUCAAGAAACUAGUCCUGUCUGAAAGUUGUGGCCAAUUUUGCAUAUUGGAGCUGUUUCAUUGAGAUUUUCUUGCAUUUGUUGAUCUUGCCUAUUAAUUAAACAGGUACUAACAGCAACUCCGAAGCAGAUUGAAAGUUUGUUACGCCUUAGUGAAGCAUUGGCUAGAUUCGCCUCUCAGAAUGGAUUGAAAAGCAUGAUGUGUUGGAGGCAUUUCGGCUUCAGGAAGUUGCAAUGCAGCAGUAUGCAAUGGAUAUAAAAACUGAACUAUUGACAUGGAUCUUAUUACCACUGGUGUUUCGGAAAGUGAAAGGAUUAGCGAUAAAGUUUGAUUCAAGACAAUCGCAACCUAGUCAUGGAUAUUCAAAUUGGGGGAUGCUCCAUGUGUUUAUUGGAGAUAUUGGAUGAAUUUAAGAAUCAGAGCCUUGGCAACGAAAUUCAUCUCAAUGAUGUAAGCCCCUUUCCACUCUUGCAAGUGAAGGAUUUCUUUCCAUGGCUGGUGACAACGUAAAAAGAACUUGAUUCUAUGAGGCAGGGUCAACAUUAGGUUUAUUGGACUGUUUGAUACUACUACUAGCUAGUUUCAUGUAUUAACUGCAACCAUUUUAACUAUCAAUUCUCUAUCCAGUUCUGGUGAUUAUGAUUAUACAUAUACACAUUAUAUACAGUAAAUUAGUAAUGUAUCCCCCAUUAGAUUA
Vicia villosa (hairy vetch) is the source of this 2183-nucleotide long non-coding RNA. RefSeq lists it as uncharacterized. Lineage: Eukaryota; Viridiplantae; Streptophyta; Magnoliopsida; Fabales; Fabaceae. The record is from RefSeq and is a predicted model, not a curated record. The transcript has 8 exons.